This 491-nucleotide ribosomal RNA is filed under the name uncultured bacterium. Its description in RNAcentral is "bacterial SSU rRNA". It matches the Rfam family "Bacterial small subunit ribosomal RNA", at positions 21 to 507 of the family's 1533-position model. The record is from RNAcentral.
GGCUCAGAUUGAACGCUGGCGGCAGGCCUAACACAUGCAAGUCGAGCGGAUGAAAGGGGCUUGCUCCUGGAUUCAGCGGCGGACGGGUGAGUAAUACGCAGGAAUCUACCUAGUAGUGGAGGAUAACGUUUCGAAAGGGACGCUAAUACCGCAUACGUUCUGAGGAAGAAAGCAGGGGAUCGUAAGACCUUGCGCUAUUAGAUGAGCUUGCGUCCGAUUAGCUAGUUGGUGGGGUAAAGGCCUACCAAGGCGACGAUCGGUAACUGGUCUGAGAGGAUGAUCAGUCACACUGGAACUGAGACACGGUCCAGACUCCUACGGGAGGCAGCAGUGGGGAAUAUUGGACAAUGGGGGCAACCCUGAUCCAGCCAUGCCGCGUGUGUGAAGAAGGCCUUCGGGUUGUAAAGCACUUUAAGCGAGGAGGAAGGUUUAUAGGUUAAUACCCUAUAGAAUUGACGUUACUCGCAGAAUAAGCACCGGCUAACUCUGUG